AACGCUGGCGGCAUGCCUUACACAUGCAAGUCGAACGGUAACAUGUCUUCGGAUGCUGACGAGUGGCGAACGGGUGAGUAAUACAUCGGAACGUGCCCGAGAGUGGGGGAUAACGAGGCGAAAGCUUUGCUAAUACCGCAUACGAUCUCAGGAUGAAAGCAGGGGACCGCAAGGCCUUGCGCUCACGGAGCGGCCGAUGGCAGAUUAGGUAGUUGGUGGGAUAAAAGCUUACCAAGCCGACGAUCUGUAGCUGGUCUGAGAGGACGACCAGCCACACUGGGACUGAGACACGGCCCAGACUCCUACGGGAGGCAGCAGUGGGGAAUUUUGGACAAUGGGCGCAAGCCUGAUCCAGCCAUGCCGCGUGCAGGAUGAAGGCCUUCGGGUUGUAAACUGCUUUUGUACGGAACGAAAAGACUCCUUCUAAUAAAGGGGGUCCAUGACGGUACCGUAAGAAUAAGCACCGGCUAACUACGUGCCAGCAGCCGCGGUAAUACGUANGGUGCGAGCGUUAAUCGGAAUUACUGGGCGUAAAGCGUGCGCAGGCGGUUAUAUAAGACAGAUGUGAAAUCCCCGGGCUCAACCUGGGGAACUGCAUUUUGUGACUGUAUAGCUAGAGUACGGUAGAGGGGGAUGGAAUUCCGCGUGUAGCAGUGAAAAUGCGUANAUAUGCGGAGGAACACCGAUGGGCGAAGGCAAUCCCCUUGGACCUGUACUUGACGCUUCAUGCACGAAAAGCGUGGGGGAGCAAAACAGG
This 757-nucleotide ribosomal RNA is filed under the name uncultured Acidovorax sp. Its description in RNAcentral is "bacterial SSU rRNA". It matches the Rfam family "Bacterial small subunit ribosomal RNA", at positions 32 to 776 of the family's 1533-position model. The record is from RNAcentral. Lineage: Bacteria; Pseudomonadati; Pseudomonadota; Betaproteobacteria; Burkholderiales; Comamonadaceae.